UGUAUGUGGAGCUCUCAUUGCACUCACUUCCUUGACGGUGUGUCCCACAUCACUGAAUCACAGUUCACUGCAAUAAUCAGCAAUGGCUGUCACGGUGCUGAGUCCUCAGUAAGGUAUUAUUCAGCGCAUUCUGCUUAAGAUGGCAGGAAAGCAUUUAAUAUAAAUAGCAUUUAAUGCAAUUUAUAUUUUUAUAUAAAUGAAUUCAAUUUUUAAAAAAACUGGUGUUUAUUCAAGAGGCACUCACACGGCUAUCUGGAGCACUUUAUUCUCAAAAAACCCCCCAAUUCCCCCAAACAAUCUGGAGAGGCAACAUUUAAUUGUAUCAUGAAUCAAUAAGUAGCAAUACUUCAAGUGACCAACUUUUUUGUUGCUGUUGAGGCAGUGUCUCACUCUGUCACCUAGGCUGGAUUGCAAGUGGCAUGACCACAGCUCGCUGCAGCCUUGACCUCCCAGGCUCAAGCAAUCCUCCCUCCUCAGGCUCCUGAGUAGCUGGGACUACAGGCACGUGCCACCAUGCCCGGCUCAUUUUCUUUUUUUUUAGUUUUUUUUUUUAGAGACAAGAGUCUCCCUGUGUUGCCCAGGCUGGUCUCGAACUCCUGGGCUCAAGCAAUCCUCCCCACUCGGCCUCCCAAAGUGCUGAGAUUACAGGCAUGAGCCACCAUGCCCAGCCAAGUGACCAAAAUAUUAUCAUCUUCCUUCUCCAUUAUCUAGUCUCUUGCAACAAAGAACACCUUCCAGUCGCGUUCCAAUCAUGUUACUGCUUUUCCCCAACUCUUCUAUCGGUGCAUGGGUGGUUCAGUGGUAGAAUUCUCGCCUGCCACGCGGGAGGCCCGGGUUCGAUUCCCGGCCCAUGCAGCACGAAAAUGUGUUUUGGACCGUGCGCGGGAGGUUGCGGUAAGCCGAGACUGCACCGUUGUAUUCCAGCCACAGCAACAGUGAGAGAAACUUCGUCUCAAAAACAAACAAAAAAACUUUCGAGGGGUCCCAAAUGCUUCUUAAAUUGAAUGAUUUGUAGAACAGGCUUUGUGACCCAGUGACUAACUGACCAUCCUUUAUCACAAAAGACACUAGUUUUCCUCCCAUAUAGCAUUUCCUCCACAGUCAGGAGAGAGACUUUCCCCCAAACAUGUCUCAGCUCAGCCAUCUGGAGUUUGCGCAUGUGUUUGCCAUGUUAAUCCCUCCUUCGUAAGCGCUCUCUCUGGGGUUAUGAAUCUUCUCAAACGGUAUGAGUUUGACAGCUAAAAUGGACUGAUUUAAAUCACUGUUCGCACACUGAAAAUACAGUGGAAUCAAGGUUCAGAGAAGAUGGCCUGAGGACCUUGCUUUACUAGGAAGCAAGUUCUGGAACGGACACUUGCUUUUGGAGCACCCUUUCCUAUCUUCUAUUUAAUUACUUAAUCCUUUAUUAUAUUCUCCCUGUCCCCUAUUGCCCCCACCCCUGCACUUUUUAACCUCUUCCUGUAAGACACUAAACAUAUAAAAGAAUAUAGGGGAAAACAGUAAAAAUAACAGCUAACAAUUGAUAAGAGUGUUUCAGAUAGAUCCGGGCUCUUCACUUACUUUAUCCCUAGUCUUCACAACGGUUCAUAUAAGGAAGAGGUGGACGCAAUUUUUU
Molecule: transfer RNA, 1615 nt
Filed under: Homo sapiens (human)
Lineage: Eukaryota; Metazoa; Chordata; Mammalia; Primates; Hominidae
Description: HSALNT0271467
Rfam family: tRNA (bases 785-855)
Source: RNAcentral